AGAGUUUGAUCCUGGCUCAGGAUGAACGCUGGCGGCGUGCCUAAUACAUGCAAGUCGAACGAAGGUAGCAAUACCUUAGUGGCGAACGGGUGAGUAACACGUAGGUAACCUGCCUUUCAGUUGGGGAUAACCGAGGGAAACUUUGGCUAAUACCGAAUUCGUGCUUCGAAGGCAUCUUCGGAGCAUAAAAGGGGCCUUUAAAGCCUCGCUGAUUGAUGGACCUGCGGCGCAUUAGUUAGUUGGUGAGAUAACAGCCCACCAAGACGAGGAUGCGUAGCCGACCUGAGAGGGUGAUCGGCCACACUGGAACUGAGACACGGUCCAGACUCCUACGGGAGGCAGCAGUAGGGAGUUUUCGGCAAUGGGGGAAACCCUGACCGAGCAACGCCGCGUGAGUGAUGAAGGUCUUCGGAUUGUAAAGCUCUGUUAUAAGGGAAGAACGGCAGCUAGAGGAAAUGCUAGCUGUUUGACGGUACUUUAUGAGAAAGCCACGGCUAACUACGUGCCAGCAGCCGCGGUAAUACGUAGGUGGCAAGCGUUAUCCGGAAUUAUUGGGCGUAAAGAGUGAGCAGGCGGCAGUUUAAGUUUGGAGUCAAAGCGAGGGGCUCAACCCCUUAACGCUCUGAAAACUGAACAGCUAGAGUGCGAGAGAGGUAAGUGGAAUUCCAUGUGUAGCGGUGAAAUGCGUAGAUAUAUGGAGGAACACCAGUGGCGAAGGCGACUUACUAGCUCGAUACUGACGCUCAGUCACGAAAGCGUGGGUAGCAAAUAGGAUUAGAUACCCUAGUAGUCCACGCUGUAAACGAUGAGAACUAAGUAUUGCCGUGAGGCAGUGCUGAAGCUAACGCAUUAAGUUCUCCGCCUGGGGAGUACGGUCGCAAGACUGAAACUUAAAGGAAUUGACGGGGCCCCGCACAAGCAGUGGAGCAUGUGGUUUAAUUCGACGCUACGCGAAGAACCUUACCAGGACUUGACAUGGAAUUAAAGACCCUAGAAAUAGGGGGAUAGUCAUAGUUCACACAGGUGGUGCAUGGUUGUCGUCAGCUCGUGUCGUGAGAUGUUAGGUUAAGUCCUGCAACGAGCGCAACCCUCGUCCUUAGUUACCAUCAUUAAGUUGGGGACUCUAAGGAGACUGCCGAUGUAAAUCGGAGGAAGGUGGGGAUGACGUCAAAUCAUCAUGCCCUUUACGUCCUGGGCGACACACGUGCUACAAUGGCCGGUACAGAGAGAAGCAAGACCGCGAGGUGGAGCUAAUCCCAUAAAGCCGGUCUCAGUUCAGAUUGAAGUCUGCAACUCGACUUCAUGAAGUCGGAAUUGCUAGUAAUCGCAGAUCAGCCAUGCUGCGGUGAAUACGUUCCCGGGGCUUGUACACACCGCCCGUCAAACCAUGAGAGCUGGUAAUACUCGAAGUCGUUAUCCUAACCGCAAGGAGGGAGACGCCUAAGGUAGGACUAGUGAUUGGGGUUAAGUCGUAACAAGGUAUCCCUACGGGAACGUGGGGAUG
Molecule: ribosomal RNA, 1504 nt
Filed under: Bacillota bacterium
Lineage: Bacteria; Bacillati; Bacillota
Also listed under: 1 other name
Description: bacterial SSU rRNA
Rfam family: Bacterial small subunit ribosomal RNA
Source: RNAcentral